RNAcentral lists this transfer RNA (68 nucleotides) under uncultured Limnobacter sp. It matches the Rfam family "tRNA". Rfam says of the family: Transfer RNA (tRNA) molecules are approximately 80 nucleotides in length. Their secondary structure includes four short double-helical elements and three loops (D, anti-codon, and T loops). The record is from RNAcentral. Lineage: Bacteria; Pseudomonadati; Pseudomonadota; Betaproteobacteria; Burkholderiales; Burkholderiaceae.
GGGAAUAGCUCAGUUGGUAGAGCGAUACCUUGCCAAGGUAUAGGUCGCGAGUUCGAGUCUCGUUUCCC